Molecule: long non-coding RNA, 804 nt
Filed under: Prunus dulcis (almond)
Lineage: Eukaryota; Viridiplantae; Streptophyta; Magnoliopsida; Rosales; Rosaceae
Description: sRNA ncRNA
Source: RNAcentral
UUCUGCUAGCUACCUGCUAUAUAUCAUCACCCUUAUACAGAUAAGUACUACUGCUUAUAAUUAUUCCACUUUCUCCAUCAUCUUCUUGCUGCUUAAACGUAGCGAAUAUAUAUUACUUCAAUUCAUUUGCUCACAUCACAUCAAUUAGCUAAAAGUUUUCCCCUUUUUUCAUUUCAAAUUUGGAUACAUGUUAAUUAAAACAAGAAAUUAAUUAAGCAUCAAUUAAUUUGCUCACAUCACAUCAAUUAGCUAAAAGUUUUUCCGUCUUUUCAUUUCAAAUUUGGAUACAUGUUAAUUAACACAAGAAAUUAAUGAAGCGUCAAUUAAUUAUCGGAUCAUAUACCAUAUAUAUAUAUAUAUAUAUAUAUAUAGAGAGAGAGAGAGAGAGAGAGAGAGAGAGAGAUCAUUGCUUUGGUGCCGGAUUUUGAAGUGCCAUAACUAAUAAUUACCAUUCAUUUUAUGUUUCAUUACUAGCCGUAGUUUUGUCUUGUUCAGGCUAAAGCUAGCACUGGAGCUGGAAGGGAAAUUAAGACAGAAAAGGACUGAUGAUCGAUCGAUGUGCGCACUGCCAGGAGCUACCUCUCUACUCACUAAUGAUCGAAUUGAAUGCAUAUGUAUUGUAUUGAUCCAAGUUUUUCACCAUCUUGUCUCACCAAAGCAAACCCUAUCUCUGCUCAUUUAUCUGAUUCUGAGUAUAUAAGUGAUCUCUCUAUUAUAUACAUGCUAGCUGCAUUUAUAUGGAGUUUUUUAUUUUUUUAUAGUAAGGGGAUUUCUGUAGUAAGGAUGCACUUAUUUUCUUUAAAA